Molecule: long non-coding RNA, 1711 nt
Organism: Coccinella septempunctata (seven-spotted ladybird)
Lineage: Eukaryota; Metazoa; Arthropoda; Insecta; Coleoptera; Coccinellidae
Exons: 2
Source: RefSeq, a predicted model, not a curated record
AGUAUAGACACCAACCAGUAGUUGCACUCUAGAUCAAAUGAACGGAAUUAUUUACUCCUCCGAGAACACGCGCAUCAUUUCGGCGCGCAUGAGAAAAUGCGCGGGAAUUUUAAAGUGAAUUAUUUUACGGGAAGAAUUAUGAGCCUUGAGGCGAAUGUAAAAAUAAUAUUAUUUGAUAAUUAACACUUCUCAAGUAUUAUUUAGAAAUUUUUCAUGAUUUUCUAUUUGAAAUGAUUAUCGUCAGGGGAAACUGAUGCAUUUUUAGUGCAUAUGUCCUAAAGUGAAUGCGAUUGUUGUGAAUCAGUGUUUUUUCAGAUAAUUUUAUGUUAAUUCUCGGCUAGAAAGGUUUUUUCCUUUAGUUUCAGAGGAUUCAUUUUUCUAGAUUUCUUAUUUCCAUGGUAAUCAACCACCUUCGGUCACAAAACUGCUGUGAUCUGUAUUCAAUAUAGAGCCUUUAGGUUCAUCUACUGAAUAGGGUUUGCCGUCAUUACGCUCACAGGGCUGAUACAAAUUGAUUGGAAGCAACCAUAUAAAAUGUCCUCCAACGAAGCAAAGUUUACUUCUUUUUGCAUUUUUUCUGACUUUGCAUGGGGGUCGAGGUAUUAAAAGUGGUAUCUUUUCAAAUUGACCUACCUAGUCAAGUAAGAAGCGAAGGUUCAUUUAGUUCAUUGUUGAAACUGCUGUGACAACACAUGAAAAAACUAUACUGUGUUCCCUAUAAAUUAGAAUGUUAUCGUCUACUUACAAUAUGAAGUCAACAUUCUAGACUGAUGAAAUGAAAAUGCAGAAUGAAAAGUUCAAAAUAAUGAAUAAAAUUUUAUUAAUACAUACAUAUAAUACAAAAAAAAACGAGAAACAAAUAAUAUAUCUAUAAAUGUAAAAUUUUUAUAAUUUUUUUUUCUUUUUUAUUUGUUUUUUGUGCAAUGAAGUUUCUAUUGCAAAAUUUAAGUGUGUAAAAAAUUCUUAAUCUAACAUACAAACUUAAUAAGUAAUUCCAAGGAAAUUUCUCACAAGGGUGAGUGUAAGGGCAUAUCUUUUCCAUUUCUCUUUUCAAUUUACAACCAACAUUGUUCUGAAUCGAUAAAUGUGGAAAAUGAGACACGAAAGUGUUAUCCAGUCGAUUAAUAUACUCAUAAAACGAAUUUGGCGGCAUUUUCAAAUUGCCAAACAAUUCAUUCUCUUUAUAAUUCCUGAAAUGACAAUAUAAUGUCUCAUUACUUAGUUCACUUUGGCUUUGUGAAAAUUCGUCACAUAAAUUACAUCUAUGUUUUUCUAAACAUUUCUUUAUUAGAUAACCACAAACAUACGAUAAUACGUUUUUUUCUGGUAAAUCCAGUUCAUUGUAAUCUUUAGGAUCUACUUUGAGAACUUCUGAGAAUACAUUUCUCUCUGAUGAGAGUUUAGGGGGAGCUUCAACUUCCAAAUCAUUAAAAUUAAUGAGGACUUCAGACAAAUCUUUAAUACAAUUUGCUCCUUCCAACUGCUCAAAAAAUUGGAGACAAAAAUUCUUUUUGAACAAACUUUUGAACUGUACUGGAGUAGGAUUUGUGGCAUUUCCUCCUUGAUAUCUAAUAUUGCCAAAGAAAUUUUCUAGAGCAUCUUGAUUUAGGUAUCUAGUGCACAUAAAUUUCAUCCUACCAUUCAUUUCUUCCCACAUCAACAAUACAGCUCUAAUUGUUUGUCUCCAACCUUUAAUAAAUUUCACAGUAUU